AUAGAGGAGACAUAUGAGAGCUCC
This 24-nucleotide non-coding RNA is filed under the name Arabidopsis thaliana (thale cress). Lineage: Eukaryota; Viridiplantae; Streptophyta; Magnoliopsida; Brassicales; Brassicaceae. The record is from RNAcentral.